This 460-nucleotide ribosomal RNA is filed under the name uncultured bacterium. RNAcentral's name for it is "bacterial SSU rRNA". It matches the Rfam family "Bacterial small subunit ribosomal RNA", at positions 327 to 804 of the family's 1533-position model. The record is from RNAcentral.
CGCCUUAUACUCCUACGGGAGGCAGCAGUGGGGAAUAUUGGACAAUGGGCGAAAGCCUGAUCCAGCAAUGCCGCGUGAGUGAUGAAGGCCUUAGGGUUGUAAAGCUCUUUUACCAGGGAUGAUAAUGACAGUACCUGGAGAAUAAGCUCCGGCUAACUCCGUGCCAGCAGCCGCGGUAAUACGGAGGGAGCUAGCGUUGUUCGGAAUUACUGGGCGUAAAGCGCACGUAGGCGGCUACUCAAGUCAGAGGUGAAAGCCCGGGGCUCAACCCCGGAACUGCCUUUGAAACUAGGUAGCUAGAAUCUUGGAGAGGUCAGUGGAAUUCCGAGUGUAGAGGUGAAAUUCGUAGAUAUUCGGAAGAACACCAGUGGCGAAGGCGACUGACUGGACAAGUAUUGACGCUGAGGUGCGAAAGCGUGGGGAGCAAACAGGAUUAGAAACCCUUGUAGUCCACGUACCA